CCCUUAGAUGUUCUGGGCCGCACGCGCGCUACACUGACGAAGGCAACGAGCUUAUAACCUUGGCCGAAAGGUCUGGGUAAUCUCCAAAUUUCGUCGUGAUGGGGAUAGAUUAUUGCAAUUAUUAAUCUUCAACGAGGAAUGCCUAGUAAGCGCAAGUCAUCAGCUUGCGUUGAUUACGUCCCUGCCCUUUGUACACACCGCCCGUCGCUCCUACCGAUUGAAUGGUCCGGUGAAGCGUUCGGACCGUGGCCUUUGGACGGUUCGCCGUCUGUUGGCUGCGGGAAGUUCGUUAAACCUUAUCAUUUAGAGGAAGGAGAAGUCGUAACA
This 327-nucleotide ribosomal RNA is filed under the name uncultured eukaryote. RNAcentral describes it as "partial 18S ribosomal RNA". It matches the Rfam family "Eukaryotic small subunit ribosomal RNA", at positions 1470 to 1796 of the family's 1831-position model. The record is from RNAcentral.